This 120-nucleotide ribosomal RNA is filed under the name uncultured bacterium. RNAcentral's name for it is "partial 16S ribosomal RNA". It matches the Rfam family "Bacterial small subunit ribosomal RNA", at positions 796 to 915 of the family's 1533-position model. The record is from RNAcentral.
CACACUGUAAACGAUGAUUGCUAGGUGUAGGGGGUCUGACCCCUUCUGUGCCGGAGUUAACGCAAUAAGCAAUCCACCUGGGGAGUACGGCCGCAAGGUUGAAACUCAAAGGAAUUGACG